This 71-nucleotide transfer RNA is filed under the name Gloeobacter kilaueensis JS1. It matches the Rfam family "tRNA". Rfam says of the family: Transfer RNA (tRNA) molecules are approximately 80 nucleotides in length. Their secondary structure includes four short double-helical elements and three loops (D, anti-codon, and T loops). Lineage: Bacteria; Bacillati; Cyanobacteriota; Cyanophyceae; Gloeobacterales; Gloeobacteraceae. The record is from Rfam by way of RNAcentral.
GCAGGUGUGGUGAAAGAGGAUCAUCGCGGUCUCCAAAACUGCUGUUUCUGGUGCAAAUCCAGACGCCUGUG